AGAGUUUGAUCAUGGCUCAGGAUGAACGCUAGCGGCAGGCCUAAUACAUGCAAGUCGUGGGGCAGCAGGACUGUAGCAAUACAGUUGCUGGCGACCGGCAAACGGGUGCGGAACACGUACGCAACCUUCCUUUAAGUGGAGGAUAGCCCGGGGAAACCCGGAUUAAUACUCCGUAAUAUUAUGAGAUGGCAUCAUCUUAUAAUUAUAGCUCCGGCGCUUAAAGAUGGGCGUGCGUCUGAUUAGGUAGUUGGCGGGGUAAUGGCCCACCAAGCCUACGAUCAGUAACUGGUGUGAGAGCACGACCAGUCACACGGGCACUGAGACACGGGCCCGACUCCUACGGGAGGCAGCAGUAAGGAAUAUUGGUCAAUGGACGCAAGUCUGAACCAGCCAUGCCGCGUGGAGGAUGAAGGUCCUCUGGAUUGUAGACUUCUUUUAUCUGGGAAGAAACCCAUAGUUUCUACUGUGGUUGACGGUACCAGAUGAAUAAGCACCGGCUAACUCCGUGCCAGCAGCCGCGGUAAUACGGAGGGUGCAAGCGUUAUCCGGAUUCACUGGGUUUAAAGGGUGCGUAGGCGGGCAGGUAAGUCAGUGGUGAAAUCUCCGGGCUUAACCCGGAAACUGCCGUUGAUACUAUCUGUCUUGAAUAUCGUGGAGGUGAGCGGAAUAUGUCAUGUAGCGGUGAAAUGCUUAGAUAUGACAUAGAACACCAAUUGCGAAGGCAGCUCGCUACACGGUUAUUGACGCUGAGGCACGAAAGCGUGGGGAUCAAACAGGAUUAGAUACCCUAGUAGUCC
RNAcentral lists this ribosomal RNA (797 nucleotides) under uncultured bacterium. Its description in RNAcentral is "bacterial SSU rRNA". It matches the Rfam family "Bacterial small subunit ribosomal RNA", at positions 8 to 796 of the family's 1533-position model. The record is from RNAcentral.